Molecule: ribosomal RNA, 206 nt
Filed under: Pneumocystis wakefieldiae
Lineage: Eukaryota; Fungi; Ascomycota; Pneumocystomycetes; Pneumocystales; Pneumocystaceae
Description: partial large subunit ribosomal RNA
Source: RNAcentral
GCUUAAUAAGGAUGUUUAUUAGUGGGUAUAGCACUGAAUAUCUAAUAUUAUUUGAAGGGAGUAUGAAAGUACUUACUUUGGAUAUUUAAUCUCAGAAUAACUAAUAGAUGAAAGAUGAUUAAGUUGUCAGACUUUUUGCGAUAAGGUGGGAAGUCAAGAGGGAAACAGCCCAGAAUAAUUUAUAAAGUUCCAAAAUUGUUAUUGAA